UUUUUAUAGUUGGUACUGAUUACUGUUGUCUCAUGUCUGUUACUACUCAGCACGCAUCAUCUAUCUACUACCUACCUAUUGAUUGACGUUUUUAACUUUUCAACUUAAAUAACUUAAGACUCUAUUGUACAAGUUCCAUGUCUCAAUCGGAAAUGCUGGUACCCUCCUCAAGCCUUCUCUUCUCAAUAUUCCGAUAUAAUACAUUUCCAGCCAAUCUAAAAUUGGUUGUAAUGUAGGCUCUACCCGUUCCAACUCUUCACUUAAUAUUUCAAAGCUUUCAACAACGUUUAUGGGAGGAACAAACGCCAAGGCAGUUAUCAUACCUUACGCCAUCAAUCCCGCAGUUCCAAUUUGUUUCUUCAAAUUCUGAAGAAGAUGGAAAAAACACCCACGAAUUUCUACUUCAGGAAAUUCGUUCCUAAACGCGUUGUGGAUCGCUAGUUCAAAGUCCACAGAGACACUUCCUACGUUGAUGCCUGGCGAUAAAUUUUUUAUUUGUACAAGCAAAUUAUUGUAUGUUGCUUGACUUUUAUUGGGCAAUAUGGCAUAAACACAUGGAUGUACACCUCCAUUUCGACAUCCUAAUAUUACGAACACUUGA
Long non-coding RNA from Metopolophium dirhodum (rose-grain aphid), 601 nucleotides. RefSeq lists it as uncharacterized. The record is from RefSeq and is a predicted model, not a curated record. The transcript is spliced from 3 exons. NCBI's taxonomy places the organism in Eukaryota, Metazoa, Arthropoda, Insecta, Hemiptera, Aphididae.